Molecule: long non-coding RNA, 4005 nt
Organism: Caretta caretta (loggerhead turtle)
Lineage: Eukaryota; Metazoa; Chordata; Testudines; Cheloniidae
Source: RefSeq, a predicted model, not a curated record
CACUGCACAGAUGCUGCAGAAGUUUGUGUCAUGCUGUGAUGAAGCUGGGACAAAACAGCUAAACUCUGUAAGAAUGAAGAGUAGCAAGUCAGCAGUUGUGAAAUGCAUCCUGUUUUGAUAAAGAAAUGACAAGGUGACAAGGAUUGUAUAUCACACAUGAACACAGCUUGCUUAUUUAACAUGGCAUCAGGGCCAGACUGGUCUCACAUUACAAUCACACAAUGGGGUGUAAGCAGAUUCCCCCAUCCCUCCCUUACAGCCCUAUAUAGGUUUGUCAGACUUCAGAUCCAGGUGCAGAAGAAUGAGCAGGUGCUGCAGUCUCAAUUAGUCCAUCCCUGGAGCAGGGGAGUAGGGACUAGAGGGAGUGUUGGAUCUCCCUGCCCAACUCACUGGCUAGCAUAGCUGAUCUAGGAGGGGGUGUCAUCAUUUACUGCUGUAAGUGGCCACUGCCUUCUGGAGCAAGAAGAAAGGGAGGGAAGAAUUGUUGUUGUUUAUAUGGGUGUCUCUGAGGCAUACAGUCCCUAGAGCUACCCCAGGUUGAUGCAACAUAGGCACCAGCCCUUGCUCGGGGGAGUGAACUAAUUCUCAGUCUAGCCCAGCUUAUAGACUGAGGGGCCGGUUGUUCAACUCUUACUGCAGUCGGUGAGCAUUCACUCAGGUGAAUGGUCUAGUGGGAAUCUAGUGAGAUGCUUCUACUGUUUAAACAUGGUGGUGGAGUCAGAUGAUACAACAUUGUGAGUUAACUAAUGUUGAAGUAAUGUGAGUGAAUGCUCACUUAAUUUAAGUAAGGGAUCCAACAACCAGUGCCUUUGUUUGCUGGUUAUGGAGUUGCUUUUCUUUUAUCAGCCUGGCAGGUUCUUUAUUGGUUGUUUAUUCACUCUAGUGAGUUUGUUUCCUGUUAUGAUCAAAAUAAAUGAAUACCAAAACCUCUUGUUCUCUCUCCCUACUAGGAAGUAGGUCACAUCUCAACCUGAGGAUCUGGAUUUGGGUUAUUUUUCAAGGAAACUUUUGUUAAAAGUUUGUCUGGGGAGAGCUAUACUAUUAAGGAGUCAUAGGCAUCCACCUAUUGCUGUGUAAUCCAUACCCCCACACCUGUUGUUGUCCCUUAGUCCUGAAUUGUAAAAUUAACAUUGUGGGCCAGAUUGUGACUAGGUCUGUGAGGGUCACAGGAGCAGGAGUGAGGGAGUAGGGCACAAGAAGAACCCACUGGAAAGGGCUAGAAGGCCUAGUCAUAGUCUUGGUCUUUGUGUUCAGUGGGCCUGAUCCAGCUCCCACUGCAGUCAAUGGAGGGACCUUCCAUUGCAUGGAACCAGGGCCUUUGUUGGCUGGAUAUGGAGUUUGUCUGAGGCCCCAUGCAAACAAGGAGGCUUGCUCUCUUAAUGCAAGGAUAGUAACCUCUACAAAGGAAGCUAGAGCAUGUGAUUGUAACAGGUACCUCUCUUGGCCUCACACAUCCCGGACUGUGUUCGCUCCCUCUAAGGGAGAGCUUCUCUGCACCCACUCCCCACCUUCUGUUUCACAGAGGUGUGCCCUGAGAGUGCGAUCAGUUUCUGUAUGGGCCUGAUCUAAAGCCCACUGAAGUCAAAGAGAGUCUUCCUAUUGCCUUGAAUGAGCUUUGGUUAGCCGCUAUCAUAAUCAGAAAUCUGACUGGCUGAAGAAGGUACUAGUUGUAUAGGUGUGGGACAUAAUCACAUGGGCCAGGGCUGAUUAACCAAUUGUUAUGGGGAAAUGUUGCAAAACCAUUGUAGAAACAGAGUAGUGCAUCUCAAGAGGACGGAGUCAUAGCAGAAAGCUAUAGCUAGUGAGUGGUUUAAGGCAACUUACUCUCAGUUGUGUCUUACGGUUGUCCUUGGGGAUUUAUCACUGACAUAAUACCCACCUUUUCAAGGAAUAGAGGUCUCUGUCUCCUGUGGAAACCAGACCAAAUUGCUUAGGUAACCUCAAAAACAGGAAAGGACAGAAAUCCAUACAUCGUUAUUUCAUUCAUCCCCCAAACCACAUUUUUUCCCAAAUGGGCAUCAGAAAUACCAGAAAGGUGAGAAAUAAGAUCUUUCAAAUUUAUAGCCUGAAUCAUCUCUGAAGAUUUUUAGCCCUCUAAUCUGUGAACGAUGAGUCUGAGGGUAGCGGGGUCAACAGAGUUAUAAAUUGGCCUAUAGACAAGGCUGACGUGAACGUAAAAGUAAAUCAAGUGCCAGGAGGAAGGGAAGAUCGUUGCUCACUGCCUGAGCAUACUUCCCCUGUCCUUUGGCAUGCUAGACGUGAUGACAACAGUCCAUUUUUCUUAAGAAACAGAUGCAAAGACAGAGAACCGGUGUUAAAAUGGAUGUUCCCUGUGCUGGCAUUGCCUAAUGCCAGCUCUUCCCAUUCACUGCGCUACAUCUUUUACUCAUGUUACUGUUUGCCUUUCUGGAAAAGUGAUGUGGAUUGUUCGUGUCCAGCGCAGCGGAAUUGGACUCUGUAGGCUAUUUAUGUUUAUCCCAAGUAGUAUAGAUCUAACCAGCUCUUAGAAUUUGAUUUCCCACUGGGACGGCAGAGCUGAUGGACAGCAGCCCACUCACUCUGAGAAGCCACUACUGCUCUUCAUGAGUGACUGGUGCUGCACAAGACCCAGGAGAAGACGUGGUCCUUGCCCUGAGGUGUUUACAUCCUAAGCAGAUGGAGAACACAGGAGACUCAGAGGAAGAGGAAGUUUGCCCCUCCUUUUGCAGAACAAAUGAGGGUGCAGCCUCCGACGCUGAAAGAGAAUUUUGUCCAAGCUGACGAUGCAAGAACUGCCCAUGCCAAGGCCCUGAGUCAUGCAACCCCUCAGGUUCUCUUGGCUCAUUUGCUUCCUGUGGUGCCAGAGCUCAGCCACCAGCCUGGGGUGGAAGGCGGAGCACUUGGGUUAAUAUUGACUCUAUAAAUAUUAUGACUGGGUGCUAAGAUGCACAUAGAGUAGAAGACAAUCCAACCCAUCCCCCCGCUCCUACCUAGUCUCCUAGUUUUAAUGCUGAUUCCUAGGGUGAUGGGGUAUCUAGUGGGAAGAGAAAAACAAUACUAAAAAGCUGGCACUUCUCCCUUCUUGCCUUCUGUGCUAUGCAGAUCUCCCCUUGCAGACCGAGGUGAAGAUCUGAACUAUAACACUGGCAUUUCAUCAAUUCCUAUCCUAGUGAUCGAUGCCAGCUUUCAGCGGGGUGGGGUGUCCCCAAUUCAUGUAGAGUUUAGUUCCUCUCCUAGAAGGCUGUGUUGGUGGGGCAACAAAAUAAUGAGCAUCUUCGUUGUUUUCAGUUCUCUGCAGAGACUUGCUUAUUUGUCAGUUGUGUGGAUUUCUGGUAAAGCAGGUGGCUUAGCUCUCAUUGGUUGCAAGGUGAUCUAUUGUAAAGUCUCAAAUUUAAGGACUGUCACUCUGUGACACUCUAUACAUCGGGCGAACAUCCUGCACCCCCAUGUUCAUCCUUAUAAUAUGAUUGUGUGGUAUCCAAUGCAAAGUUUGUCGUGUCGGGUGUCUUCGGAAGGCUUAUGAUGCACUGAGCAUUGUUGUUAUACUAAUGUUAUGGGUUGUAAUAUCAUGUAUGUAGUUAUGAGGCUGAAAAUGUGUCCUCAUGGCUUAAAACAAACCCAGGCAAAACUCUCCAGGAGUACAGGGGCAGUUCACAUCUCAUCAGGGCAUGUAUGGGACAAACCCAGCCCAGCCUCACAGGAACAAAGGACACUGGCCUAGGCAGCAACAAAGGAUCUGUCAGACUCUUGAGUGAGUCACCCCCCUUCCCUUGGUCAGUUUGGGACUAUGAUGAGGUAAUGCUCACCUGACCCUGAAGGGGUGGAGGCAAAGCCAAGAGCGAAGAAAGAACAUAAUAAAAGGGAGAGACAUUUGCCUGUGGUGAGAAGCAUCUAAGUUUGUAAGGGCACUGAAAGUGUUAAGAUCAGCUUAGAAUGUGUUUUGCUUUUGUUUCAUUUGACCAAAUCUGACUUUUUGACUAAUAAUCACUUAAAAUCUAUCUUCUUUAAUUAAUAAAUUUGUUUGUU